GAAAGCAAAGAAAGAAACCAAAUUUAUCCUCUACUUCCCAUCAGCAGGCGAUGUCCAACCACUUCCCGGGAAGCAGGGCCCCCGUACGCGUAGCGGUUGCUU
This is a long non-coding RNA of Aquila chrysaetos chrysaetos, 102 nucleotides long. RefSeq lists it as uncharacterized. Lineage: Eukaryota; Metazoa; Chordata; Aves; Accipitriformes; Accipitridae. The record is from RefSeq and is a predicted model, not a curated record. The transcript is spliced from 3 exons.